UGAGGAAUAUUGGUCAAUGGGCGGAGAGCCUGAACCAGCCAAGCCGCGUGAAGGAAGACGGCCCUAUGGGUUGUAAACUUCUUUUGUCGGGGAACAAAAGCCGAUUUGCGAAUUGGUCUGAGUGUACCCGAAGAAAAAGCAUCGGCUAACUCCGUGCC
This 158-nucleotide ribosomal RNA is filed under the name uncultured bacterium. RNAcentral's name for it is "partial 16S ribosomal RNA". It matches the Rfam family "Bacterial small subunit ribosomal RNA", at positions 355 to 509 of the family's 1533-position model. The record is from RNAcentral.